GCGCAGGGAGGAAAGAAGAGCCGGGAAUGAAGAGACCGGUGCAAGCGAGGUAGGAGUCUGAAAGGAAAAACCGUCAGACAAUCCGAAGACGUGAUGCGCAGCGAACUGAAGUAGCGAAGCUUCGGCCCCUAACUGCCAAGAAAAGCCGCUAUUGUUUGCAUGACACCCGUACCGUAAACCGACACAGGUGGAUGAGGAGAGAAUCCUAAGGCCGACGGGAGAAGCAUUGUUAAGGAACUCGGCAAAAUGACCCCGUAACUUCGGGAGAAGGGGUGCCUCGAAAGAGGCCGCAGAGAAUUGGCCCAAGCAACUGUUUAGCAAAAACACAGGUCUAUGCAAAACCGAAAGGUGAGGUAUAUGGGCUGACGCCUGCCCGGUGCUGGAAGGUUAAGAGGAGAGCUUAGCGCAAGCGAAGGUUUGAAUUUAAGCCCCAGUAAACGGCGGCCGUAACAAUAACGGUCCUAAGGUAGCGAAAUUCCUUGUCGGGUGAGUUCCGACCCGCACGAAAGGCGUAAUGAUUUGGGCGCUGUCUCGACAAUGCACCCGGUGAAAUUGAAGUACCAGUGAAGAUGCUGGUUACCCGCGCCAGGACGGAAAGACCCCAUGGAGCUUUACUCUAGCUUGAUACUGGGAUUCGGUAUUGUCUGUACAGGAUAGGUGGGAGGCUAUGAACCGUGGACGCCAGUCUGCGGGGAGCCGCUGUUGGGAUACCACCCUUACAAUACUGGAUUUCUAACCUGCCGCCAUGACCUGGCGGAGGGACAAUGUCUGGUGGGGAGUUUGACUGGGGCGGUCGCCUCCGAAAGAGUAUCGGAGGCGCUCAAAGGUCCUCUCAGGAUGGACGGAAACCAUCCGAAGAGUGCAAAGGCAUAAGAGGGCUUGACUGUGACACCGACGGGUGGAGCAGGUACGAAAGUAGGACUUAGUGAUCCGGUGGUAGAAAGUGGGAUUGCCAUCGCUCAACGGAUAAAAGCUACCCUGGGAUAACAGGCUUAUCACUCCCAAGAGUUCACAUCGACGGAGUGGUUUGGCACCUCGAUGUCGGCUCAUCGCAUCCUGGGGCUGUAGCAGGUCCCAAGGGUUGGGCUGUUCGCCCAUUAAAGCGGUACGCGAGCUGGGUUCAGAACGUCGUGAGACAGUUCGGUCCCUAUCCGGCGCGGGCGUAGGAUAUUUGAGAGGAGCUGUCCUUAGUACGAGAGGACCGGGAUGGACGAACCGCUGGUGGAUCGGUUGCAUUAUCAAGUGCAUGGCCGAGUAGCCAAGUUCGGAAGGGAUAAACGCUGAAGGCAUCUAAGCGUGAAGCCCCCCCC
RNAcentral lists this ribosomal RNA (1310 nucleotides) under metagenome. RNAcentral's name for it is "bacterial LSU rRNA". It matches the Rfam family "Bacterial large subunit ribosomal RNA", at positions 1472 to 2800 of the family's 2925-position model. The record is from RNAcentral.